AUUAAUAUAGAUAUAAUUAGAACAGAUAUUGUAAAUAAAACACUAUAAAUUUUUAUAAAUUGUUGUGAGUGUUAGGUAUAACUAUUUCAAUAUUCUAUAUCAUACAUCAUACUUAAGAUGUUGAUUUUGUUGAAGUGUUAUGUUAUUAAAUAUUAAGCUUUGCAUUCAUAAUGUGCGACAACUUUAAUGUAAAAUGUAAUAAAAAAUAUAAAGACAUUUUUUUAGUAGUCAAUUGUAUUGUAAUAUGAUCAAAUUACGACAGAGUUAUCAUAUUUUCACUGUUGAAUAUGCAUACAAUUCUUAUUAAAUACAAAGGUGGAUCAUUACGGAUAGCACAGUUUCAUCAUCAUCUUGCAUCCAUUUAAAAAAAAAAUGGAAAUAUAGACCUAAAAUAAGCUAAUGGAGGAAGAUCAACAGUCCUGAAAAAUUGUUCCAUAAAUUUAAGCCUACGGUGAUACUUAUUUCUAGGCUGACACUCCAAGUAACUUAGGGCAUGUUCAUUAUCAGUUUGUAGCCCCUAUUCUUAUUUUCAUUUUAAUAGUACAUGUGUAAUAUAUGUUCGGCGAUCCUAAACCUUAAAUCAAAUUAUAAAAUGUAUUAAAUAGAAUCUAUUUGACAGUAAUAAAAGUUAAAACAUGUUAAACACAUUUUCUAUAAAUUACAAAACAAAUUAUAAAAUAAUAUACUACAUGUCCUCCAAAGCAUAGCAAAUAAAAUAUAUUUUACAAACACAUAUAAGGCAUAUGUUAAGUUAGUAGAGGCAAUUUUUCUUGUAAUCAUUAAGACAUAUGAAUUGAUACCCCCAUACACACACACAUAUUAAGUACUUCUAUCUACCCCUAUCUAUCUAUCUAUCUAUAUAUAUAUAUAUAUAUAUAUAUAUAUAUAUAUAUAAAGUUGGGAUUUGAGGAGGUGAUGUGGCAUCAUCAUUUCUCAUCUUUGUAUAUUCUCUAUUAUCUAAUAAAUAGAGAAAUUAUGAUCCCAUUAACAACCUUUAGCUUCCCUAAAAUUUCCACUAUCUCACAAGGAAUUAUGAUCGAUAAUUUUUCAUUAAUUUCAUGGAGUGAUUAUGAACUAUAAAAAGAGAGCUCAUCUUUUUGCUUUGUACACACACAAUUGGAAUGAAUAAAAUCACUGUAUAAUAUAUUCUCUCAUUUUAUUCUUUAUCUUACUUUGCUUCUUUAUUUGUAUUUCUUUUAAAUUUGGCUUUUCGUCUUCUCAUAAUUAAUUUAAUUGUUAUUACAUAAUAACAAUUAUGUAAAGAUUUUAAUGAGACAUAUUCUUUAUAAUGAACAUACAAGGGGGAGUGUUAUGAAUUUAUUAAAAUAAAUGUAGAUGUUCAUAACAUAUAUCCCUUAAUCUCCCUACUAUCUCACAUUAACAACCUUUAGCUUCCCUAAAAUUUUUACUAUUUCACAAGGAAUUGUGAUCUAUAAUUUUUCAUUAAUUUCAUGGAGUGAUUAUAUAACUAUAAAAAGAGAGCUCAUCUUUUUGCUUUAUACACACACAAUUGGAAUGAAGAAAAUCACUCUAUAAUAUAUUCUCUCAUUUUAUUCUUUAUCUUGCUUUGCUUCUUUAUUUGUAUUGCUAGCUAAUAACUUGUUUUAUUUUUUAUAAGGCUGCCUCAUCUUAAAAAAAAAUAAUUCAUAUUUUUUAUCAGUUUCAUCAAGUGUAAAGUAAGAAAAAAUGAUAAUAUUAAAUUCUUUUUUCAAAGCCGCGUGAAACGCGGUUCUAUUUUCUAGUUUAUUAAUAGAAGGGAAAUUAAAAUCGUAAUUACCUCGAUAUAUUAUGAAUUGAUAUGUCACAUAUAAAUAUCAGUGAAAAUUAAUUUUUAGAUUAAUGAAGUAAACCAUGUAUAGACCAAUGGGCAUUUGGUCCAAUGGGAGAAGCCUUGCACUUACAAUGUUGAGUGCAAGGGUUCGAGCCUCUAUAAGAGCUUUACGGGGGUUAAUUUCAGUACUCCCUCAAUUAUCAACAUAAUUGAGUGGAGACAGUCUCUCCCUUAUGAAAUGUAAUGUGAGUGGAGUAGGCACCCCUCGAAUAUUAGAGAGGGUUUAAAAAUAUAUGAGCAAGUGCUUCAAUAUGUCAAUGUAUAGCGGUGGUCCCAGUUAUAUAGUAUGAUUGUAAUUAUUAAUUGUAAUGUCUGAUGUAAUGUCAGUAAUAUCUGUGUAUAACAGACUUCAAAAAAAAAAAGUAAACCAUAUAUAGGCAUUUAAUUAAUCUAAGGUCAAACGAAAUAUAUCACUUGACAUUUCAUGCAGUAGUCCAAUUUUUAACACUUGCAUAUAGUUUUGUAUGCUAAUAAGCCAAUGAAAUAUAUAUACCACAUGAGAAAUUGAAGAGCUAUUAUUUAUAUUUCACUAUUGGACAAAUAUGGAUCUUCCAAUUCUCUUCCAUGGCCAUAAAUUAGAAAAAAAAAAUCACAUAGUAGAGACUACAUCCGUUCGCAUGCUCUCAAAAUAGAUUUUGAAAUUAGUUUUGCAUGCUUUCAAAAUAAAUUUUGAAAUUAGUUUGAUUACAUGAUAAUCAAAUUCUCUUAUAACAUUAAUGAUAUAAUUUAAGCAUUAUUUUAGCAAUUGUGAGUUUUACAUUAAAUCUUCAAAUUAAUUACAUAUUGUCACUCUUUCU
RNAcentral lists this long non-coding RNA (2628 nucleotides) under Citrus x clementina. RNAcentral's name for it is "Citrus clementina (C. clementina) long non-coding RNA (CCLE_LNC000600)". Lineage: Eukaryota; Viridiplantae; Streptophyta; Magnoliopsida; Sapindales; Rutaceae. The record is from RNAcentral.